This 236-nucleotide ribosomal RNA is filed under the name Vibrio sp. UCD-FRSSP16_10. RNAcentral describes it as "partial 23S ribosomal RNA". It matches the Rfam family "Bacterial large subunit ribosomal RNA", at positions 2713 to 2925 of the family's 2925-position model. The record is from RNAcentral. Lineage: Bacteria; Pseudomonadati; Pseudomonadota; Gammaproteobacteria; Vibrionales; Vibrionaceae.
UGUUCGGGUUGUCAUGCCAAUGGCAUUGCCCGGUAGCUAAGUUCGGAAUCGAUAAGCGCUGAAAGCAUCUAAGCGCGAAGCGAGCCCUGAGAUGAGUCUUCCCUGGCACUUUAAGUGUCCUAAAGGGUUGUUCAAGACUAGAACGUUGAUAGGCAGGGUGUGUAAGUGCUGUGAGGCAUUGAGCUAACCUGUACUAAUUGCCCGUGAGGCUUAACCAUACAACACCCAAGGGGUUU